This 253-nucleotide ribosomal RNA is filed under the name uncultured bacterium. RNAcentral's name for it is "partial 16S ribosomal RNA". It matches the Rfam family "Bacterial small subunit ribosomal RNA", at positions 524 to 776 of the family's 1533-position model. The record is from RNAcentral.
UACAGAGGGGGCUAGCGUUGUUCGGAAUUACUGGGCGUAAAGGGCGCGUAGGUGGCCUGUUAAGUCGAACGUGAAAUCCCCGGGCUCAACCCGGGAACUGCGUCCGAGACUGGCAGGCUCGAAUCCGGGAGAGGGAUGUGGAAUUCCAGGUGUAGCGGUGAAAUGCGUAGAUAUCUGGAGGAACACCGGUGGCGAAGGCGGCAUUCUGGACCGAAACUGACGCUGAUGCGCGAAAGCCAGGGGAGCAAACGGG